RNAcentral lists this ribosomal RNA (301 nucleotides) under uncultured vent bacterium. RNAcentral's name for it is "partial 16S ribosomal RNA". It matches the Rfam family "Bacterial small subunit ribosomal RNA", at positions 1041 to 1332 of the family's 1533-position model. The record is from RNAcentral.
UAUUAUGGCCGUCGUCAGCUCGUGAAAAAAAAUGUUUGGUUAAGUCCCGCAACGGGGGCAACCCUUGUCAUUAGUUCCCAUCAUUUAGUUGGGCCCUCUAGUGAGCCGGCCGUGGAUAACUCGGAGGAAGGUGGGGAUGCCGUCAAUCCAUCAUCCCCCUUAUGUUCUGGGCUCCCCCCGUGCUACAAUGGCUGGUACAGGGAGAAGCAAGUCCGUGGGAAGGAGCAAAUCUCCAAAACCAGUCCCAGUUCGGAUUGUAUUUUCAACUCGGGGGAAUGACCUCUUCUCUUUGUCCCGGUGU